Molecule: long non-coding RNA, 435 nt
Organism: Dendronephthya gigantea
Lineage: Eukaryota; Metazoa; Cnidaria; Anthozoa; Malacalcyonacea; Nephtheidae
Exons: 3
Source: RefSeq, a predicted model, not a curated record
AGAAAUCGUGUGACUGCUGGAGCCUGGGAGUUAUACUAUAUGUUUGCAGGCAAAUAACCCAUUGGAGAAACAAGUCAAAGAAGGGUCGUAUAAAUUUCCGAACAACCUCUGGAAGAAUGUUAGCAGUGAAGCUAAGGAUCUUAUAACAAAACUGCUUACUGUUGGUCACAGAAAAUGCAUCACGGUUUCAGAAGCUCUGGAACAUCCUUGGAUGAAGGAUAAAGAAAUGAUAGAAAAAGCAGAAAAAAUGAUAAAACCGACCGUGGAUGGAAGAUCAAUGUCUCCGCCCUUAUAAAAGGUAUGUUGAAAACUACGAUACUUGUCCCGUUCUUCCGUCCAAUGACCCUUAUUUUCAACUCGCAAUUGCAAUGAAACAUUACAUGUUUGCAAGUUACAUCGAAAUUUAACCAGCUUUCCGAAACAAUCUCAAGGCGC